UACGUAGGGUGCAAGCGUUGUCCGGAAUUAUUGGGCGUAAAGAGCUCGUAGGCGGUCUGUCGCGUCGGCUGUGAAAACUUGGGGCUCAACCCCAAGCCUGCAGUCGAUACGGGCAGACUAGAGUGUGGUAGGGGAGACUGGAAUUCCUGGUGUAGCGGUGAAAUGCGCAGAUAUCAGGAGGAACACCGGUGGCGAAGGCGGGUCUCUGGGCCAUAACUGACGAUCAGGCACGAAAGCGUGGGGAGCAAACAGG
This 253-nucleotide ribosomal RNA is filed under the name uncultured bacterium. RNAcentral describes it as "partial 16S ribosomal RNA". It matches the Rfam family "Bacterial small subunit ribosomal RNA", at positions 524 to 776 of the family's 1533-position model. The record is from RNAcentral.